Molecule: ribosomal RNA, 476 nt
Filed under: uncultured bacterium
Lineage: Bacteria
Description: bacterial SSU rRNA
Rfam family: Bacterial small subunit ribosomal RNA
Source: RNAcentral
UGAACGCUGGCGGCAGGCCUAACACAUGCAAGUCGAGCGAGAAAGCACUUCGGUGCGAGUACAGCGGCGAACGGGUGAGUAACGCGUAGGAAUCUACCCAGUAGUGGGGGACAACAGUCGGAAACGGCUGCUAAUACCGCAUACGCCCCAAGGGGGAAAGCGGGGGAUCUUCGGACCUCGCGCUAUUGGAUGAGCCUGCGUCGGAUUAGCUUGUUGGUGAGGUAAAAGCUCACCAAGGCGACGAUCCGUAGCUGGUCUGAGAGGAUGAUCAGCCACACUGGAACUGAGACACGGUCCAGACUCCUACGGGAGGCAGCAGUGGGGAAUAUUGCGCAAUGGGGGAAACCCUGACGCAGCCAUGCCGCGUGUGUGAAGAAGGCCUUAGGGUUGUAAAGCACUUUCAAUAGAGAGGAAAAGCUUGUCGCUAAUACCGGCAAGCCAUGACGUUACCUAUAGAAGAAGCACCGGCUAACUCC